UGUUCUUAUUGGUUGCACCUUUAUCUCUUCUUUGACUUUCUCAAAGAAAGAAGACUCAAGAAACUCUUUUGCUCCCAUUUCCCACGGAUCAAUGCAAAUCAGAAAUUUGCACCUCACUUUUCUCUCUUUUGUCUCAAGGAAAGUGCUAGGAAGCUCCCUUGAGUCCAAGGGUUCACACACCAAAAGAAAGAAAAUUCUCUCAACUCUUCUCUCCCUUUCAUUCCCACGGGUCCUAAACCCAAAAGAAAGAAAAUUCUCUCAAGCUCUCCACCUCUCAUAAUUUUGGGUCCAGCCACUAGGAAAUGGGGAAAUUCUUCCACGCAAGAGUGAUUCUAUUUCUCCUUGGAAUCAGAAAUUUGGUGUUACCAGUAUCCAAGUCUAAGCUCCUUCGACUUUAGGCUCUCGGUUCCUCUGCUUUCAGUUAGCAGGUUUUAUUUUGGAGCAGAGGGAGCCUUAGUCGAGUUUUGGAAGGAGCUGGUUUUAGUUUAUAUGUAUAGAUCCUAAAUUAGCAAAUUGAUGUUUAGCUUUGUAGUAUUGUGUAUUUUAGGAUCUAAUGAAAGUGUAUACCUUAAAGUAUUAAGAGAUGUAUUAUGUGAAAUUCCAAAUUUGAACAAUUGGUGAAUUAGGUUAUUCUUUGGAGUACAUUGUAGAUGCUCUGAAUGUCAAGUGAAAGGUUAUAUCA
Quercus robur (English oak) is the source of this 682-nucleotide long non-coding RNA. RefSeq lists it as uncharacterized. NCBI's taxonomy places the organism in Eukaryota, Viridiplantae, Streptophyta, Magnoliopsida, Fagales, Fagaceae. The transcript has 3 exons. The record is from RefSeq and is a predicted model, not a curated record.